UGCGCAGGCGGGAUUGCAAGUUGGAUGUGAAAUACCGGAGCUUAACUCCGGAACUGCAUCCAAAACUGUAGUUCUUGAGUGGAGUAGAGGUAAGCGGAAUUCCGAGUGUAGCGGUGAAAUGCGUAGAUAUUCGGAGGAACACCAGUGGCGAAGGCGGCCUGCUGGGCUUUUACUGACGCUGAGGCACGAAAGCAUGGGUAGCAAACA
This is a ribosomal RNA of 207 nucleotides. It matches the Rfam family "Bacterial small subunit ribosomal RNA", at positions 568 to 774 of the family's 1533-position model.